GGGGAAUAUUGCACAAUGGGGGAAACCCUGAUGCAGCGACGCCGCGUGGAGGAAGAAGGUCUUCGGAUUGUAAACUCCUGUUGUUGAGGAAGAUAAUGACGGUACUCAACAAGGAAGUGACGGCUAACUACGUGCCAGCAGCCGCGGUAAAACGUAGGUCACAAGCGUUGUCCGGAAUUACUGGGUGUAAAGGGAGCGCAGGCGGGAAGACAAGUUGGAAGUGAAAUCUAUGGGCUCAACCCAUAAACUGCUUUCAAAACUGUUUUUCUUGAGUAGUGCAGAGGUAGGCGGAAUUCCCGGUGUAGCGGUGGAAUGCGUAGAUAUCGGGAGGAACACCAGUGGCGAAGGCGGCCUACUGGGCACCAACUGACGCUGAGGCUCGAAAGUGUGGGUAGCAAACAGGAUUAGAUACCCUGGUAGUCCACACCGUAAACGAUGAUUACUAGGUGUUGGAGGAUUGACCCCUUCAGUGCCGCAGUUAACACAAUAAGUAAUCCACCUGGGGAGUACGACCGCAAGGUUGAAACUCAAAGGAAUUGACGGGGGCCCGCACAAGCAGUGGAGUAUGUGGUUUAAUUCGACGCAACGCGAAAAACCUUACCAAGUCUUGACAUCCCUUGACGAACAUAGAAAUAUGUUUUCUCUUCGGAGCAAGGAGACAGGUGGUGCAUGGUUGUCGUCAGCUCGUGUCGUGAGAUGUUGGGUUAAGUCCCGCAACGAGCGCAACCCUUAUGGUCAGUUACUACGCAAGAGGACUCUGGCCAGACUGCCGUUGACAAAACGGAGGAAGGUGGGGAUGACGUCAAAUCAUCAUGCCCUUUAUGACUUGGGCUACACACGUACUACAAUGGCGUUAAACAAAGAGAAGCAAGACCGCGAGGUGGAGCAAAACUCAGAAACAACGUCCCAGUUCGGACUGCAGGCUGCAACUCGCCUGCACGAAGUCGGAAUUGCUAGUAAUCGUGGAUCAGCAUGCCACGGUGAAUACGUUCCCG
Molecule: ribosomal RNA, 995 nt
Filed under: uncultured bacterium
Lineage: Bacteria
Description: bacterial SSU rRNA
Rfam family: Bacterial small subunit ribosomal RNA
Source: RNAcentral